RNAcentral lists this ribosomal RNA (492 nucleotides) under uncultured bacterium. RNAcentral describes it as "partial 16S ribosomal RNA". It matches the Rfam family "Bacterial small subunit ribosomal RNA", at positions 29 to 507 of the family's 1533-position model. The record is from RNAcentral.
AGUGAACGCUGGCGGUAGGCCUAACACAUGCAAGUCGAACGGCAGCACAGUAAGAGCUUGCUCUUACGGGUGGCGAGUGGCGGACGGGUGAGGAAUACAUCGGAAUCUACUUUUUCGUGGGGGAUAACGUAGGGAAACUUACGCUAAUACCGCAUACGACCUACGGGUGAAAGCAGGGGAUCUUCGGACCUUGCGCGAUUGAAUGAGCCGAUGUCGGAUUAGCUAGUUGGCGGGGUAAAGGCCCACCAAGGCGACGAUCCGUAGCUGGUCUGAGAGGAUGAUCAGCCACACUGGAACUGAGCCACGGUCAAGACUCCUACGGGAGGCAGCAGUGGGGAAUAUUGGACAAUGGGCGCAAGCCUGAUCCAGCCAGACCGCGUGGGUGAAGAAGGCCUUCGGGUUGUAAAGCCCUUUUGUUGGGAAAGAAAAGCAGCAGGUUAAUACCCCGCGGUUCUGACGGUACCCAAAGAAUAAGCACCGGCUAACUUCGUG